RNAcentral lists this ribosomal RNA (253 nucleotides) under uncultured bacterium. Its description in RNAcentral is "partial 16S ribosomal RNA". It matches the Rfam family "Bacterial small subunit ribosomal RNA", at positions 524 to 776 of the family's 1533-position model. The record is from RNAcentral.
UACGUAGGGUGCGAGCGUUGUCCGGAAUUAUUGGGCGUAAAGAGCUUGUAGGCGGUUUGUCGCGUCUGCUGUGAAAAUCCGGGGCUCAACCCCGGACUUGCAGUGGGUACGGGCAGACUGGAGUGUGGUAGGGGAGACUGGAAUUCCUGGUGUAGCGGUGGAAUGCGCAGAUAUCAGGAGGAACACCGGUGGCGAAGGCGGGUCUCUGGGCCGCAACUGACACUGAGGGACGAAAGCUAGGGGAGCGAAUGGG